CAGUAGCAAUACUGUGGGUGGCGAGUGGCGGACGGGUGAGUAAUGCAUCGGGACCUACCUGAACGUGGGGGAUAACGUAGGGAAACUUACGCUAAUACCGCAUACGUCCUACGGGAGAAAGCGGGGGACCUUCGGGCCUCGCGCGGUCAGACGGACCGAUGUUCGAUUAGCUAGUUGGUAGGGUAAUGGCCUACCAAGGCGACGAUCGAUAGCUGGUCUGAGAGGAUGAUCAGCCACACUGGAACUGAGACACGGUCCAGACUCCUACGGGAGGCAGCAGUGGGGAAUAUUGGACAAUGGGCGCAAGCCUGAUCCAGCAAUGCCGCGUGUGUGAAGAAGGCCUUCGGGUUGUAAAGCACUUUUAUCAGGAGCGAAAUACUGUCGGUUAAUAACCGGCGGGGCUGACGGUACCUGAGGAAUAAGCACCGGCUAACUUCGUGCCAGCAGCCGCGGUAAUACGAAGGGUGCAAGCGUUAAUCGGAAUUACUGGGCGUAAAGGGUGCGUAGGCGGUUAGUUAAGUCUGUUGUGAAAUCCCCGGGCUCAACCUGGGAAUGGCAAUGGAUACUGGCUAGCUAGAGUGUGUCAGAGGAUGGUGGAAUUCCCGGUGUAGCGGUGAAAUGCGUAGAGAUCGGGGGGAACAUCAGUGGCGAAGGCGGCCAUCUGGGACAACACUGACGCUGAAGCACGAAAGCGUGGGGAGCAAACAGGAUUAGACACCCUGGUAGUCCACGCCCUAAACGAUGCGAACUGGAUGUUGGUCUCAACUCGGAGAUCAGUGUCGAAGCUAACGCGUUAAGUUCG
RNAcentral lists this ribosomal RNA (802 nucleotides) under uncultured Frateuria sp. RNAcentral describes it as "bacterial SSU rRNA". It matches the Rfam family "Bacterial small subunit ribosomal RNA", at positions 74 to 868 of the family's 1533-position model. Lineage: Bacteria; Pseudomonadati; Pseudomonadota; Gammaproteobacteria; Lysobacterales; Rhodanobacteraceae. The record is from RNAcentral.